Molecule: long non-coding RNA, 1874 nt
Organism: Diceros bicornis minor
Lineage: Eukaryota; Metazoa; Chordata; Mammalia; Perissodactyla; Rhinocerotidae
Exons: 3
Source: RefSeq, a predicted model, not a curated record
GUUGGGAAUAGAUUCCCAAUGAUAUCAUCAAAUUUGCUAGUGUCGGGGAGUCUGAGGGAUCACAAGUUCUCUAUCAAAAAAGAGAAACAGGCUGUUAACCUAAGCUGACAAAUGUCAAAAAUUUUUUACUACUAAUCAAAUGUUAAUUUUUAAAUGUUCUCCUCAAAUAACACAUGUACUUUCUUUAGCAGGGUAACAUACUCACUUACACCAGUUUUCUUUGUUGCCAACAUUUUGCAUGUUCUGUCCUUCAUAUUUAGUCAGGAACACUUUGCUGGGUGGCACAGCUUUAAUGGCUACUGGAGUAGCUAGGUUUGAGUUGUAUUUUGAUAAAAUCUAAAACAAAGCAAAUUCCUUUUUAUCAGGUCAUAUGAACAACAUAACAUAAAUUUGGAAGGUGUUAUAAAACGUUCAAGAAAAGCCAAGGAAAAUUUGAAGAUAUGCGUUAUUUGGAACAGAAUUUUUUAGCAGCACAGACAGUUCAACAGCACAGAAAAGAUGGAGAUAUUAGAAUUUAACUUGGAUGUGGAAUCUUGAUUUCUCAAGUCUUCUAAAAGUGCUUUGCCCUUUCCUGGGUACACCACUGGUUAAUGAAUUUGGUGUGGAACCUAGGUUGAAAUUAAGAGAUCCAGGAUAGCACCUACAACACCAAGGGGUUCAAGAGGAAGAAAUACUAGCUUUUGUGUGAGAGACAACAGCAAGUCAAAAAGGAUAACUGGAAAGAACUACAAUCCAUCUGGAAUUGAUUUUUGUGUAUGGCAUGCAGUAAGGAUCAAGAUCCAUUCUUUUUUUCCAUGAGUGUCCAACUGACCUGGCACCAUUUACUGAAAAGACAUUCUUUUUUUUUUAAUUGAUGUUUUAAUAGUUUAUAACUGUGAAAUUUUUGGUUGUACAUUUUUGUUUGUCCAUCACCAUAUAUAUGUCUCCCUUCACCCCUUGUGCCCACCCCCUACCCCCAUUGCCCCUGGUAACCACAAUACAGUUUUCUCUGUCCAUGUUUUGGUUUAUAUUCCACAUAUGAGUGAGAUCAUACAGUGUUUGUCUUUCUCUUUCUGGCUUAUGAAAAGACAUACUUUACCCACUGCACUGUCACCUUUCUUAUUAAUCAGUUGGUCAUAUAUAUAAUGUAAAAGCAGUUUUUUUUAAAGGAUUCUAUUUCUCUUUUCUAAAACAUGCCUCCUUUGAAGAUCUCCUUCUACCUGUUAAAAGACCAAUUUUCAUUAGGAAAAUGCAAAUCCAGACCCAAUAACAUCUUACUUUAUACACACUAGAAUAGCUGUAACAAAAAAAGACAACAAUAAAUGUUGAUAAUGAUGUGGAGAAAUGUCAACCCUCAUUCACUGCUGGUGGAAAUGUAUAAUGGUGCAUCUGCUUUGGAAAACAAUUUGGCAGGUCCUCAGAAAGCUAAACACAGGGUUACCAUAUGACCCAGCAAUUCCACUUCUAAGUGUAUACCCAAGAGAACUGCAAACAUUAUGUUCACACAACAACAUUGCAUACAAUGUUUACAGCAGCAUUGUUCAUAAUAGCCAAAAAGUGGAAACAACCCAAAUGUUCAUCAACUGAUGAAGAGAUAAACAAAAUGUGAUAUAGCCAUACAAUGGAAUAUUAUUCAGUGAUAAAAUGGAAUGAAGUACUGAUAUAUGCUAAGACAUGGAUGAACCCUGCAACAUUAUGCUAAGUGAAAUAAGUCAAUCACAAAAGACCACAUAUUGUAUGAUUCCAUUUGUAUGAAAUGUCUAGAAUAGGCAAAUCUAUAGAGACAGAAAGUAAAUUAGUAGUUGCAUAAGGCUAGUGCGGCAGGUGGGGGUGGGAUUAUGGGGAGUGGCUGUUAACAGUCACCGGGGUUUAUUUUAGGGGUGAUGAAAAUUUAA